CUUGGCGACUAUAGUGUUUUGGACCCACCUGAACCCAUUCCGAACUCAGAAGUGAAACGAAAUAGCGUCGAUGGUAGUGUGGGGUUUCCCCAUGUGAGAGUAGAACAUCGCCAGGC
This 116-nucleotide ribosomal RNA is filed under the name Vibrio vulnificus. Lineage: Bacteria; Pseudomonadati; Pseudomonadota; Gammaproteobacteria; Vibrionales; Vibrionaceae. The record is from RNAcentral.